Molecule: long non-coding RNA, 1118 nt
Filed under: Mus musculus (house mouse)
Lineage: Eukaryota; Metazoa; Chordata; Mammalia; Rodentia; Muridae
Description: predicted gene, 50242
Source: RNAcentral
GUGGUGAUCUUUCUGGGUUUUUUUUUCUACUUUAUUAUAUUUAUAUGAUGCUAUGUUUUGUCUGCAUGUAUGUUUAUGUGCACUAGGUGUUCAGUGCCCAAGUUGGCCAGAAGAGGGCCUGGAUCCCCUGGAACUGCAGAUAUAGAUGGUUGUGAUCCACUGUGUGGGGGCUGGGAGUCAAAUCUGGGUCUGCAAGAGCAACCAGUGCUCUUAACCUCUGAGCCACCCUUCAAGCCUACUUUGAAUUUGAAAGAGCCAAAAAACAAUUCACCGGUAAAACAGAAAUCUUUAUUUGACCCAGUUGGGACACUUGACACUCGAGGCUCCAAUUCCCCGGCGCCUUCACAGCUUCCUCGAGAUGGUGUUUUCGAGUAGAACUGCCUUGCUCUUUCUGCCUCAUCUGCUUUGUCUGAAAGCUGGUUCCGACUGGCAGCAGGAGCUAGCUGUGGCAUUCCCUUGGUGGCUCUCAAAUCCCACGGUCCCCUCGGGUCCCUCCUAUGCUUGGGAAUCCUGGGCAGUGGAAUAUCUGGCCCAGGAAUAGGCAGGUGCACUUGUCUCUGUGACCCUGGCUCCUGCUUCUCCUGUCUACCUGCCUGCUCUGCCCUGGAGCUAUGGGGUGGCAAGGACUGAUCCUAAAGAGUAAGGUCACACUUCUGUUUGCUCACAUCACUCAGCCUUGCCAGCAGAGCCCCACAGGCCACCGGUGCCAGCACCGCUGCAUCACCAGGAUCCCCCUCUUUGUUUCACUCAUUCUGGGGGAGAAUGGAAGGACACAGGUGGGGAGCAAACGGAUGCUGCCCAACUGUCCAUGGAUUACGGUUGAAUCACACCUUCAACGCCAGUGUCGUAAGGUAGCACUGCCUACCUGCAUGCCACCUGUCCCCCAUGAAGCCUGUGGGCAUCUCCCACCUCCCACUCAAGCUGACUUCCUGCCAGUCUUGCUGGGAAACAUCUGAUUGACAGGCAAGCAUCCAUUCUUCCUGACUCUGAGUGGCUAGAGCCACUCGUUCCAUUCUGAUCACCCAUCCAGUAUGUAGAUGUCUCCGGGUCAAUUUAUGUAUUAAUUUGUCACUCGCUGCAUAAUAUUUAGUACUGAGAUAAAAAACAAAUAAGCCAAU